RNAcentral lists this transfer RNA (74 nucleotides) under Callipsygma wilsonis. Its description in RNAcentral is "tRNA-Thr". It matches the Rfam family "tRNA". From Rfam's summary of the family: Transfer RNA (tRNA) molecules are approximately 80 nucleotides in length. The record is from RNAcentral. Lineage: Eukaryota; Viridiplantae; Chlorophyta; Ulvophyceae; Bryopsidales; Halimedaceae.
GCCUGUUUAGCUCAAAUUGGUAGAGCAUUGGUUUUGUAAACCGAUGGUUGGCGGUUCAACUCCGUUAACAGGCC